Molecule: ribosomal RNA, 105 nt
Filed under: uncultured bacterium
Lineage: Bacteria
Description: partial 16S ribosomal RNA
Rfam family: Bacterial small subunit ribosomal RNA
Source: RNAcentral
ACGGGAGGCAGCAGUGGGGAAUAUUGCACAAUGGGCGCAAGCCUGAUGCAGCCAUGCCGCGUGUAUGAAGAAGGCCUUCGGGUUGUAAAGUACUUUCAGCGAGGA